GACGAACGCUGGCGGCGUGCCUAAUACAUGCAAGUCGAGCGCUGAAGGUUGGUACUUGUACCAACUGGGUGAGCAGCGGACGGGUGAGUAACGCGUGGGUAAUCUGCCUUUGAGCGGGGGACAACAUUUGGAAACGAAUGCUAAUACCGCAUAAAAACUUUAAACACGAGUUUUAAGUUUGAAAGAUGCACUUGCAUCACUCAAAGGUGAUCCCGCGUUGUAUUAGCUAGGUGGUGAGGUAAAGGCUCACCAAGGCGAAGAUACAUAGCCGACCUGAGGAGGUGAAUCGCCACAAUGGGACUGGAGCACGGGCCAAAACCCUUACGGAAGGCACAAGAAGGGAACCUCCGCAAUGGACGGAAGGCUGACCGGAGAACGGCGGCUGGGGUGAUGAAGUUUUCGGAUCGGAAAACCCUGUUUGUAGGGAAAGACGUUGGUGAGAGUGAAAAGCGCAUCAAGUGACGGUAACUAACCAGAAAGCGACGGCUAACUACGUG
This 497-nucleotide ribosomal RNA is filed under the name uncultured bacterium. RNAcentral's name for it is "partial 16S ribosomal RNA". It matches the Rfam family "Bacterial small subunit ribosomal RNA", at positions 28 to 507 of the family's 1533-position model. The record is from RNAcentral.